GAUGUUAUGCCAGAUAAAUUGGGCUAUCUUGAUGGGGUAAAUAUGGGAUUAAUUGUCUUUAACAUCU
Molecule: transfer RNA, 67 nt
Filed under: Ectenagena elongata
Lineage: Eukaryota; Metazoa; Mollusca; Bivalvia; Venerida; Vesicomyidae
Description: tRNA-Ile
Source: RNAcentral